RNAcentral lists this transfer RNA (77 nucleotides) under Parahaliea aestuarii. Its description in RNAcentral is "tRNA-Arg". It matches the Rfam family "tRNA". From Rfam's summary of the family: Transfer RNA (tRNA) molecules are approximately 80 nucleotides in length. Their secondary structure includes four short double-helical elements and three loops (D, anti-codon, and T loops). The record is from RNAcentral. Lineage: Bacteria; Pseudomonadati; Pseudomonadota; Gammaproteobacteria; Cellvibrionales; Halieaceae.
CCGCCCGUAGCUCAGACGGAUAGAGCAGGGCCCUCCUAAGGCCAAGGUCGCAGGUUCGACUCCUGCCGGGCGGGCCA